AUACUUACUUGGUGUAGAGGUCAACCGUGAUCACUGUGGCGGUUCCUCCAGGACGAGACUUUCCCAUUGCACUUCGGGACGGUUGACCCCUGCGAGUAUUCCUAACCGGAAUUUCUCGGACACAUAAUUUUUGGUAGUGGGACUGCGUUCGCGCUGUCCCUG
Molecule: small nuclear RNA, 162 nt
Filed under: Cinara cedri
Lineage: Eukaryota; Metazoa; Arthropoda; Insecta; Hemiptera; Aphididae
Description: U1 spliceosomal RNA
Rfam family: U1 spliceosomal RNA
About the family: U1 is a small nuclear RNA (snRNA) component of the spliceosome (involved in pre-mRNA splicing).
Source: Rfam by way of RNAcentral